This 76-nucleotide transfer RNA is filed under the name Acidimicrobiia bacterium. Its description in RNAcentral is "tRNA-Lys". It matches the Rfam family "tRNA". From Rfam's summary of the family: Transfer RNA (tRNA) molecules are approximately 80 nucleotides in length. Their secondary structure includes four short double-helical elements and three loops (D, anti-codon, and T loops). Lineage: Bacteria; Bacillati; Actinomycetota; Acidimicrobiia. The record is from RNAcentral.
GCGCCCCUAGCUCAACUGGCUAGAGCAGCAGACUCUUAAUCUGCGGGUUCCGGGUUCGAGUCCCGGGGGCGUACCA